AUUACCACUGUAAUAUUAGGGUUAGACAAAGACAGAGAGCAUCCCUGUCCUCCCUACCCUCUCGUACUGCCAUAGCCGGGAUUCUGAGUGUUGCCGCUUCCUUGUCCUUGCCCGUAGCCACAGUAGAACCCAUUGUUGCCUUUGUUCCCUCCAUUUCCUUUGCCUUUGCCUCUGUUCUUCCCUUUUCCACCAUAGCCAUUCGUCAUCCCUUCCGUGACUGUCAGUGUAGUGCACUUCAGCAGGAGGUGAUCCAAGGAUUCCAAAGAGAGGAGUCGAAGCCAACUGCUGUGAUUGCUCGUGAGUAGCAACAUAUGAUCGCCAUUCUUCAUGUCCCAUAAGCAGUGAGGUCAUGCCAUUGUUGUUCCAGAAGAUCUUCUUGGGCUGCCGUCUGACUAAGAAAGGUCAUUUCCAAAGAAUGCCAGGCCUCAUGGGACGUCUUGACAGAAAGGAUGGUGAACCCAAUUUCCUCGAUCACUACUAGCAUAAUACAGGAAUGGCUUUUGGAACAGGAAGUGCACUGGCCAAAGGGCUGUUGAUGCUGUGAUGGGUCCUUGCACAAUUCAGCAUGAAGCUGUUGUCUGUAAGGUGGCUGCUUCCCCGGCAGUUGCACCCACAUCAAGCAGCAUUAGCAGUACUAAUGCUUCCGCUAUCCAUUCAAAGGCCUUCCAACAUGUGUGGAGACUUUCCUCAAUUUUCUGUCCAACUCAAGGAAGAGGAAUGAUAUUGUUGCUACUAAAAAAUUUUGAAUAUUUUGAGUUGCAUGUCUUAGUGCUUAGAUAGAAAUCUGAUAGAAGUAAUUGGUACAAUUUGUUUGUAUUUUCUUGUGCAUAUGGCUUUCAUCAUAUUUUCAAAUUCUUAUCUUCUAUUGCUAUAACUUUAACUAUCCUUCUGAAAUGCAAUUGUUAGGGCUGGGUGGGGGUUUUCUUUCCUUGGUUUUCAUUCUAUACGGUUGCUUCUUACAGGUGAACUCUUUUCUAAGUAGAAGAGUUCUUAUUUUCGAAGCAUAUAUAGAUUGCUCUUAACGUUCUUUGUGGUUUACUACCAUUAAAAAAAAAAAAAUUCUUUGUGGUAACUUUUAUGCC
Non-coding RNA from Punica granatum (pomegranate), 1082 nucleotides. The record is from RefSeq and is a predicted model, not a curated record. NCBI's taxonomy places the organism in Eukaryota, Viridiplantae, Streptophyta, Magnoliopsida, Myrtales, Lythraceae.